UGCCGAACAGCUAGCCCACCUAGACAACUUCAACACCUCACUAUUAAUACCCCUUAAUACACGAAUCAUAAACGAAACAAAUCAUUUUUAACCCCUAGUAUGGGCGACAGAAAAGGGCCUAGGAGCAAUAGAGAAAGUACCGUAAGGGAACGCUGAAAGAGAAAUGAAAAAACCCAGUAAAGCGCAGAAAAGUAGAGCUAAAACCUCGUCCCUUUUGCAUCAUGAUUUAGCCAGUGAUUUUCAAGCAAAAAGCUUUUUAGUUUGUUGACCCGAAACUAAGGGAGCUACUUCAAGACAGCCUGAUAAUAGGGCAAACCCGUCUCUGUCGCAAAAGGGUGGGAAGAGCUUUAAGUAGAGGUGAAAGACCUACCGAACUUAGUUAUAGCUGGUUGCCCAAGAAAUGAAUAGUAGUUCAGCCUCCCGGCUUCUCCCUUCAUCUCAGUGUACACCUCUCCCUGAUACCUUGAGAAACCGUGAGAGUUAUUCAAAGGGGGUACAGCCCCUUUGAAACAAGAUACAACUUUCCCAGGAGGGUAAAGAUCAUAAUAACCUAAGGUAAAUAACUCUCGUGGGCCCGAAAGCAGCCACCCCUUGAAGAAAGCGUCUAAGCUCAGAACAAUUUGCCCCGCCCCCGAUCCCGAUCAUUUAAUCUCAUCCCCCUAAAUUUAUUGGGCCGUUCCAUGCCCCCAUGGAAGUGACCAUGCUAAUAUGAGUAAUAAGAAAGCUAUGUCUUUCUCCCCGCACACGUGUAAAUCGGAAUGGACCAACCACCGAAUAUUAACGGCCCCAAGCAAAGAGGGCAUUAGAAGGUAAAUCAAAUAACUAGAAAAACCUCCAACUACUAACCGUUACCCCAACACAGGUGUGCCCCCCGGGAAAAACUGAAAGGAAGAGAAGGAAUUCGGCAAACACAUGAAGCCUCGCCUGUUUACCAAAAACAUCGCCUCUUGCAACUCAACGUAUAGGAGGUCCCGCCUGCCCUGUGACUAUAAGUUUAACGGCCGCGGUAUUUUGACCGCGCGAAGGUAGCGCAAUCACUUGUCUUUUAAAUGGAGACCUGUAUGAAUGGCAUAACGAGGGCUUAGCUGUCUCCUCUUCUAAGUUAAUGAAAUUAAUCUUCCCGUGCAGAAGCGGGAAUAAAUCCAUAAGACGAGAAGACCCUAUGAAGCUUUAGACAAAAGGUAGACCAGACUACAAAGACCCCCGAAUAACGGGACAAACCAAAUGGACCCUGCCCUCCUGUCUUUGGUUGGGGCGACCGCGGGGAAAGAAAAAACCCCCACGUGGAACAGGAGUACUGCUCCUUAAGCUCAGAGCCACAGCUCUAAGAAACAGAAUUUUUGACCUAAAGAUCCGGCAAUGCCGAUCAACGGACCGAGUUACUCUAGGGAUAACAGCGCAAUCCCCUUUUAGAGACCAUAUCAACAAGGGGGUUUACGACCUCGAUGUUGGAUCAGGACAUCCUAUUGGUGCAGCCGCUAUUAAGGGUUCGUUUGUUCAACGAUUAAAGUCCUACGUGAUCUGAGUUCAGACCGGAGUAAUCCAGGUCAGUUUCUAUCUAUGACAUGCUCUUUUCUAGUACGAAAGGACCGGAAAGAAAAGGUCAAUGUAUCAUGUACACCUUACCCCUACCUAAUGAAAACAACUAAAAUAGGCGAGGGGGUAUGUCUUCCCCACCAGAGAAAAUGGUAU
This 1692-nucleotide ribosomal RNA is filed under the name Eleginops maclovinus (Patagonian blennie). RNAcentral describes it as "16S ribosomal RNA". It matches the Rfam family "Bacterial large subunit ribosomal RNA". The record is from RNAcentral. Lineage: Eukaryota; Metazoa; Chordata; Actinopteri; Perciformes; Eleginopidae.